GACGAACGCUGGCGGCGUGCCUAAUACAUGCAAGUUGAGCGCUGAAGGGUGGUACUUGUACCAACUGGAUGAGCAGCGAACGGGUGAGUAACGCGUGGGGAAUCGGCCGUGGAGCGGGGGACAACGUUUGGAAACGAAUGCUAAUACCGCAUAAAAACGUUAAACACAAGGUUUAAGUUUGAAAGAUGCAAUUGCAUCACUCAAAGAUGAUCCCUAGUUGGAUUUGGUAGUUGGUUAGGUAAAGGCCCAACAAGGCGAUGGUACAUAGCCUGCCUGGGAGGGUGGACGGCUCACAUGGGAAUUGGACACGGGCCCAAACCCCACGGGGGGGAGCAGUAGGGGAACUUCGGACAUGGACGAAAGUCCGACCGCGGACAGCCGGGUGAGUGAAGAAGGUUCUCGGAUCGGAAAACUCUGUUGGUAGAGAAGAAAGUUGAUGAGAGUGGAAAGCUCAUCAAGUGACGGUAACUACACAGAAAGCGACGGCUAACUACGUG
RNAcentral lists this ribosomal RNA (497 nucleotides) under uncultured bacterium. Its description in RNAcentral is "partial 16S ribosomal RNA". It matches the Rfam family "Bacterial small subunit ribosomal RNA", at positions 28 to 507 of the family's 1533-position model. The record is from RNAcentral.